Molecule: ribosomal RNA, 483 nt
Filed under: uncultured bacterium
Lineage: Bacteria
Description: partial 16S ribosomal RNA
Rfam family: Bacterial small subunit ribosomal RNA
Source: RNAcentral
AUUGAACGCUGGCGGCAGGCCUAACACAUGAAGUCGAGCGGAUGAAGGGAGCUUGCUCCUGGAUUCAGCGGCGGACGGGUGAGUAAUGCCUAGGAAUCUGCCUGGUAGUGGGGGAUAACGUCCGGAAACGGGCGCUAAUACCGCAUACGUCCUGAGGGAGAAAGUGGGGGAUCUUCGGACCUCACGCUAUCAGAUGAGCCUAGGUCGGAUUAGCUAGUUGGUGGGGUAAAGGCCUACCAAGGCGACGAUCCGUAACUGGUCUGAGAGGAUGAUCAGUCACACUGGAACUGAGACACGGUCCAGACUCCUACGGGAGGCAGCAGUGGGGAAUAUUGGACAAUGGGCGAAAGCCUGAUCCAGCCAUGCCGCGUGUGUGAAGAAGGUCUUCGGAUUGUAAAGCACUUUAAGUUGGGAGGAAGGGCAGUAAGUUAAUACCUUGCUGUUUUGACGUUACCAACAGAAUAAGCACCGGCUAACUUCGUG